Carassius auratus (goldfish) is the source of this 3528-nucleotide long non-coding RNA. Lineage: Eukaryota; Metazoa; Chordata; Actinopteri; Cypriniformes; Cyprinidae. The record is from Ensembl.
GAUGAAGUUCUGCUCAAUUAGGGGACGCUCAUAUAUUUGAUGAUUAGAAUAAGAAUAAAUAGACAUUUAUUCCGACAGAAAAAUACAGCGAAUGACACGUGCAUCAUCGUCAGACAAUAAUAUCACACAAAUUUCCCUUAUUGCUCUUCCUGCAAUACAUCAAAUGUGAAUUUUAACAUUUUGAGCCGAUGACCUAUUUUUGUCAUAACUGCUCCGAUGCAAACUGGCUCCAUAGACUGCGCUGAGAGCAUCACGUCUUCUUAAGACUCUCUAACAGUGAUGUUGCCAUAAAAUACGGGGUAUUAAUUAUGACUGCAAUAUAUGAGUAAGGCAAUUAUAUCAGACAGGCGCAGUCGCUGCAACGAGGACUAAUUGCAUUAUUAAAAGCUAAAAUAUUGUAAACAAGACGAACGUGCCACACAUGCUUCUCUACACGUGAAUGCACCGUAUCUAUCUAUCUAUCUAUCUAUCUAUCUAUCUAUCUAUCUAUCUAUCUAUCUAUCAUGAAAUCUGACACAUCAACGCGUUACCAUUAAGGAAAGGCCUAUUGAGAGACACUGAAAAGUUUUACUUGAUUAGUCUCAAUUUCCAGCCACCAUUAGCUGCUUUAAACAGGCCCGAGGUGACUACAAAUGAGCGUCAUCGCUUGGGCAAUAUUUACAACUUAGUUUCAAAACACAAUUAAAAAGAACUUGCACGGGAAAUGACAACAGAAAGGCCGUGCAACAGUGCAAACUGGGGUGUCUGACCGGGAAAUGCUCCACUGCAUGACUGAGACUCGGCUCGGGAUGACUUUGGUUCCCACAGGACGCAUGGCGCUUUGAUAAGAAAUGAUAAGAAAACGGAGCCAAACUCAACAACAAACAAAGGCUCUUACGCUUUGUUAAAUUCGAAGCUGUGGACCGGCCAGUUUGGUGGUCAGUGUGUUUUUUCCCCGUUCACACAAUCUGUGAUAUACAAGUGGUUCCAUAGUGUAGUGGUUAUCACGUCUGCUUUACACGCGAAGGCCGCAGAGGCCAGUCACGGAUAGGUGUAGAGCGCUAACUAGCCAAUAGGAACGAAGGAAAUUCAAGGAAGGCGGGGCGAAAAAAAUACACAGAAUUAGAGGUUCGAAUCCCGUCUUGGCCACAAAUACCAUACAAUGAGUUUGUUUUCGUUUUUUCAUCUAGAUACACUUUAAGUACGAUUAACAUAUAAUAGACGAACUUUGUGAACAAAGAUAAAAUAAAUCUUGUAAUAAUUGUUCUUUUGUAUGGUGUACAAAAUGUGCAACGAUCUUAAGAAACAUAUACAUUAUAAUAGGGAAUAGUUAUUUUUAAUAUAGAAAAUUGUGAAUUAUUAAAAAGAACAUUUUGACGUUUCAGGCCUUUAUUUUUAAAGAGACAUCUAUUUAUAUUUGUAUAACUGUGUACAGAAAACCUAUAUAUAUAUAUAUGUAAUAUAACUAACACUCACAAAAAAUUAAGUUAUCCAUUUUAUUUAUAGUAAAGUAAUAUACUUAUUAUAAAAAUGAUAAGAAAAACGAACCAAAAUAUAUAAUGAUUAAAUAAAUAUACAUAAAAUAAUCAUAGAUUAUUAAACAACAGCAACAAAUAUAAUAAAAAUAAAGAUCUGGAGAACAGAAAAAAACAAUAAAAAUAUGUUUUACAUUAAAUAAUUAUGUAUGUUUAAUAGUAACAGUUAUUAACAUUCAGUGUUUACAUAUCAGCAGCUAUGCUAAUGAUGUCUCUAUGUGUUUCUCUGUUUCUGCUGGGAUCUUCAUCCAGUGGUAACUAGGAUUUACACAAGCUCCAGUCUGGAUCCAGAACACCUGAGAAGAGAUGAUGCUGACCCUCAGAGGACCCCAGAUGAUGCUAACCCUGAAUCAACAAACAGAACUAACAAUUAUUGCUACAAGUGUGACUGCAUCAUAUAAUAAUUAUUAAUUAAUAAUAUUAAUAAUGUUCAUCAUCUGGCUGACUACGUCUUGCAUUAUUUUCUACAAAUCCUGUUAUAGGUGCACAAACUGACAGUCACCACUAAUAAACUAUUACUAAAUAUUGUAGAAACAUAAUUUUCUGUAAAGUUGCUUUCUAACGAUUUGUAUUGUAAAAAGCGCUAUACAGAUAAACUUGAAUUGAAUUGAAUUAUCUGAGCAAGUCAAUAAAAUUUAAUAUCAAUAAAAAAGAAAAUCAACAAAAUGUAUACAUUUUUUAAUCAAUAAAACUUAACACACAGUUCAAUACAGUUCAAACAAGGCCAAAUGUAAAAAAAAAAAAAAAAAAAAGAAAAUAUAUAUACAUACAUACAUAUACCACGGUCAUAUAUAUAUAUAUAUAUAUAUAUAUAUAUAUAUAUAUACACACACACAUACAUUUCAGAUAAAUGCUGUUCUUUUAAACUUUCAAUUCAUGUAAGAAACCUGAAAAGAUUGUACUCGGCUGUUUUCAACAUAACAUAACAACAACAAUAAUAAUAAUAAUCAGAAAUGUUUCUGAGCAGUAAAUCAUCAUAUUUUCAUGAUUUCUGAAGAUUAUGUGACACUGAAGACUGGAGGAAUGAUGCUGAAAAUACAGCGGAGCAUCACAGAAAUAAAUUACUCUAUAUAUUCUAAUAUAAAGCAGCUGAUUUAAAAUAGUAAGAAUAUUUAAAAUGCUACUUUUUUUUGCUGUACUUUGGAUCAAAUAAAGGCAUGCUUGGUGAGCAGAAGAGACUCCUCAAAAAACAUUACAAAUCUUUCUGCUGAAAAACAUUUGACUGGUAGAGUAUUUUAAAUAAAAUAAUUAUUUACAGAGUUUAAUAUUAGCCAUUACUAACAUUUAGUGUUUACAAAACUGAGCAAGAUAAAAUAACAAUACAAAGUCAAUACAAUUAAUUAACACACUAAAGUACAGUGUAAACAAGGCCAAUACUUCUGAUGUUUUAUUUAACAACUGGAAAUAAAUUAAAUAAUUUAAAAUUGUAGACUAAACAACAACAGCUACAAUAAUAUUAAUAAUAAUACAAUUUAAAGUUGUGGAAAACAUAGAAAAACAACAACAACAAAAAACAAGCCUUCGGCCUGUUGAAGAAGAUCCUUGCUCCUAUGGUGCGUUGCCAAGAGAUCUUCACGGGCAAUUCUCAGCAGAUCUGUCCAUCUAUGGUCCAACACGAAGACCAGCCGUUCUGAGGGGUCCAGUGUGAGCUGAACGAGGGACGCAGUUAUGGCCGAUGGUGUGGUGUUCUACAGAAGAUGAACAGGAUUACUUUAUUGCAAUAUUUGUCUUGGUGUUAUGUGCACAUAUGAGACAGACAGUUUACACACAUAAGUGCCUGUAUGAAUAAUUUAUUUACCUGCAUCUGGAAGAAACCCUUCUGACCUUUGAUCCUCCGCUGUCAAAGUGUCUGGUGUGAUGUUUUGGUGGACUGAGACCGUCUUUAGGGUGACCUACUCUGCGGAGGAUGGGUCUUGACAGAGGAUGCUUCAUCUAAACAUUCCUGAAAUAUAGAUUCAAAUUAAAUAUAUCAAAUGUAUUUUAUAAUUCAUAAUAUAUAUAAUUUUAGAUUAAA